RNAcentral lists this ribosomal RNA (308 nucleotides) under Acanthoprocta pustulata. Its description in RNAcentral is "partial 16S ribosomal RNA". Lineage: Eukaryota; Metazoa; Arthropoda; Arachnida; Opiliones; Gonyleptidae. The record is from RNAcentral.
GCAUAAUCAAUAGUUUUUUAAUUGGAAACUUGAAUGAAAGGUAGAUACUAAAAGGAAAGUUUUAUUUGGUUAGUUUGAACUUAAAUUAAAAUUAAAAAUGUUUUUAUUAAUUUUGGGGACGAGAAGACCCUAGAAGCUUAAAUUGUAGUAUAAUAAAUAAUUUUGGUUGGGGUAAUUAUUUGAAGAUAAGAAUUUUUGAAAGGGAUUAUUUUUAUGAAUAUAAAAAAGUUACUCUAGGGAUAACAGCGUUAUUUAAUUAAUGAGUUCUUAUUAAUAGUUAAGGUUACGACCUCGAUGUUGAAUUAAGU